RNAcentral lists this ribosomal RNA (468 nucleotides) under uncultured bacterium. Its description in RNAcentral is "partial 16S ribosomal RNA". It matches the Rfam family "Bacterial small subunit ribosomal RNA", at positions 28 to 507 of the family's 1533-position model. The record is from RNAcentral.
GACGAACGCUGGCGGCGUGCUUAACACAUGCAAGUCGAACGGAAAGGCCCUGCUUUUGUGGGGUGCUCGAGUGGCGAACGGGUGAGUAACACGUGAGUAACCUUCCCUUGACUUUGGGAUAACUUCAGGAAACUGGGGCUAAUACCGGAUAGGAGCUCCUGCUGCAUGGUGGGGGUUGGAAAGUUUCGGCGGUUGGGGAUGGACUCGCGGCUUAUCAGCUUGUUGGUGGGGUAGUGGCUUACCAAGGCUUUGACGGGUAGCCGGCCUGAGAGGGUGACCGGCCACAAUGGGACUGAGAUACGGCCCAGACUCCUACGGGAGGCAGCAGUGGGGAAUAUUGCACAAUGGGCGGAAGCCUGAGGCAGCAACGCCGCGUGCGGGAUGAAGGCCUUCGGGUUGUAAACCGCUUUCGCCUGUGACGAAGCGUGAGUGACGGUAAUGGGUAAAGAAGCACCGGCUAACUACGUG